Molecule: unclassified non-coding RNA, 3175 nt
Filed under: Rhipicephalus microplus (southern cattle tick)
Lineage: Eukaryota; Metazoa; Arthropoda; Arachnida; Ixodida; Ixodidae
Description: neurotrypsin-like, transcript variant X3
Source: RNAcentral
CGUAAAGCGCGGCUUAUAAGGAAACAGCCCAUUGAAGGUGGCAGGUACGACCACACUUCUUUAAAUCGAGGACGUGCGUUUGUAUCCCCUGCUGUUAUGUUUUUGACGAAAUGGAUUACACUUGUGAUGAUUCUGCUGGGCAAAAACAAUUGCGACGGAUGGACAACAAAUUUAGCUCCUUUUUUCGGCCGUCCAAGCCAAAGCGAUGUCACUCGGAGCCGACAUCCCCACCAUCCACCUGCGGUCUUUCCACCGCAUCACAGCCCGCUUGCGGCUGGUCGGCCUUCGUGGUUUACCCAGUGGUUUGACCACAGGCAUGCUGAGGAGGCCAAGUCGCUGCAGACGAUUUCUCGCCCACCAAUGAGUCCCACUGGUAGUCUUGCCGCAAAAGCUCGGCGAGGUAACACACCUCUACCAAGCACGAGCUUGCCCACUUCGAAUCAUACCAUACGUCUUCGAGGAGGAAGGUUGCCGCACGAGGGCUUCCUGGAGGUGAAAAUCGCAGGGAAGUGGCAGUCGCUGUGUGGUGACGCGUGGAACCAACGACUGACAGCAAUGGCGUGCACCGAAAUGGGCUUCAACAGAGGCGGAGAAUACGUACAAAGGAAAUAUCCCUGGCUGACAGCUCGACAUGGUUUUGACGUGGACUGCCCGAAGGAGGUGACCAAUAUGGCACACUGCACCAUUAGAAGAACUAUGUGCACCAGCAUGCGGAGAAUCAGGCUUUCCUGUAAUCGCGAUCCCGCGUCCGCCUGCAAUCCGGGAGAGCACCCGUUCCAAGGUAUGUGUCACCUAGUGAUUGGGACGCCGAGUCUGACACACGCGGAAGCCAGGUCCUUUUGUGAAUCGAGGGGAUCUCGACUUGUCAGCAUCAGUUCCAGUGCCAAGAAGAACUUCAUGUCAGAAUUGUUGCUAGCCCUUCAAAAAGGACUCGACCGCUGGCACACUGAUGGCAUUCGAAUCAACGGCGUCUGGAAGUGGGAGGCGAGUAACCAGGUGCUCACACCAGACCGGCCAUGGCAACUCCACAAUGCGGUUCUCCCGGCUGCACCAGAAUGCCUCAUUCUGGAAAGAGUGUUCCCAGAAAAAUUCCGCGGAACACCGCUCGAGGAGGUGCGCCACAUGUGGAACACAGCUCACUGUUCAGAGAGGCUGCCAUUCAUAUGCGAGAGAGCGACCUUUCCGAUAGGUUGUCGUAAUCCUGACGGGGCAUACUUUGGCUCUGCGAACGUUACGGAGACUGGAAAGCCUUGCCUACAUUGGGGAGAUCCUUGGAAUGGCCCUUCUGUGAGCAGACACUACCCCCAAGCGUACCAGGAAAUGAAAUUGCACAAUCACUGCCGUUCGCCCGAUGGUGACGAUACGCCCUGGUGUUUUGUGAGUGAAUCAGAAUACGAACACUGCGAUAUACCGGAGUGCUCGCUAGUUCAAAGUCCAAGCGUUGCCAUGGUGUUGUCGAAAUGUGCUGACAAUGAAUUUCAGUGUAGCCCUGAACAAUGCAUCCGAAAAGAGUGGAUCUGUGAUGGCGACGUAGACUGCCAUAAUGGAAGGGACGAAGUGAACUGUGAACGUCUCCUCGAAAUGUUUCGAAGGACACCUAUGACUAGAAUGAGCAGCUACGAGGCAGCAAGGUAUUUUUCUGCGAGCGUCACAAAGUGCGCGGCCAAGUGUGUCUACACAGCAGCGUUCACCUGCCGAUCCUUUAGCUACAUGUCGUCCGGCAGCCUUUGUAUACUUAGUGACCGCAACGUGGCUCAAACGGGUUCGCUUGUUGGUGACCCUCGGUUUGACUAUUACGAAAGCACGACUUACUCUGACAACUGCACCGGCAUGUACCGCUGUCGCAACGGCAAAUGCAUCGAGAGACAACGUGUGUGUGACAUUGCCAAUGACUGUGGCGAUAGGUCGGACGAAACCAACUGCCUGACCCGGAUGAGCUUCGAGGUGCGCCUUCGUGGUGGAUCCCAAACCUUGCUACCACUAGCUGAAGGCCGCGUGGAGGUCAAGGUUCACGAUCAGUGGGGUCUCGUCUGCGACGACAACUGGGACACUGAAGCGGCCAACGUUGUGUGCAGAGAGCUCGGCUUCCCUUUGGGUGCCAUCGAGGCAACCAAAGAGUCACAGCACGGACUACCAGCUGAAGACGGAAUCGCUGAAAUAUUCAUGGAUGACGUUUUGUGCGUCGGCAACGAGACAUCGCUGGCUCACUGCUCCUUCCCCGGAUGGAAAAAGCACAACUGUUUUGUUAACGAGACGGCGGGAGUGCGAUGCAGAACCAAAGCGUGCGGGCAGUCUGAGCUGGAAUGUUCCGGAGCCUGCAUCCCGUACUACCUUGUUUGCAACGAGCAAAGAGACUGCGCCGACGGUGCAGACGAAGAGUUCGAGUGCGAAAGUAAGCUGGCCAUCCGGCUCAUGGGAGGACCACACCCGCUCUCGGGAAGACUGGAACUGCGCAGACACGGCAUAUGGGGCACAGUCUGCGCUGAUGGCUUCGGACCAGUGGAGGCUCGCGUGGCGUGUGCCAUGUUGGGCAUAGCUAAUGCCAGCGUCACCGUGCUCGGAGGCCUCCCCUAUGGUCCUGGAAAAGGUCCUACUUGGCUGGAAGAUGUGCACUGUUUGGGCACGGAGAGUUCUCUGGAAGAGUGUCGCAGCAUUCCUUGGGGAUACAGCGACUGCAGUCACAAUAAGGACGUGGCGAUCACGUGCAGCUCGUACCACGAGCAUCCCGAGCCACCGAGUAUUACCUCAUGCAUACCUGCGGAAUGCCAAAGUACCAGCCCCGAAUGGACCAGGCAUCUGUGCUUUUCCAAUAUCACACGAGCAGGAACAGAAUCCUGCAUCAGAACUUCCACUCAGCCAGGUCACCGAGAAGACGCAUCACCGGGCGCAUUGUUGACGGCAUACCAGCCCAUUAUGGCGCCCACCCUUGGUUGGUGGACGUGCGUCUGCGCGACCUCUCAGGGGAGACACUGCACUGGUGCGGAGGCACCAUCCUGACCCACGACUUGAUUCUUACUGCUGCGCAUUGCUUCAAGUUUUCGCCGAACGUGUCACAACUGGUCGUGCGCGUGGGACAGUACAAGCUCUACGCACCCGACCCUUACGAGCUCGAGUUCCAGGUCGAGGCCAUGCGUGUUCACAGAGAUUUCAAUCCAGACACCUUCUACAACGACAU